AAGUCGUAACAAGGUUUCCGUAGGUGAACCUGCGGAAGGAUCAUUAACAAAUGUUUUCAACCACAACCACAUUUAUGUGAACUGUUAGAACCGGGCACCAAUAUGCUCGGUUCGCAAACCCACGUCUAAAAUUAUUUACUGAACUUUGUAUGAAAAUAUAAAGACAACUUUUAGCAACGGAUCUCUAGGCUCUC
RNAcentral lists this unclassified non-coding RNA (194 nucleotides) under fungal sp. RNAcentral describes it as "partial internal transcribed spacer region". The stretch from base 1 to 46 matches the Rfam family "Eukaryotic small subunit ribosomal RNA", at positions 1786 to 1831 of the family's 1831-position model. The record is from RNAcentral. Lineage: Eukaryota; Fungi.